This is an RNA transcript of Falco peregrinus (peregrine falcon), 9184 nucleotides long. It is a transcript of the gene named zinc finger protein 521, with no coding region annotated. The transcript has 7 exons. The record is from RefSeq and is a predicted model, not a curated record. NCBI's taxonomy places the organism in Eukaryota, Metazoa, Chordata, Aves, Falconiformes, Falconidae.
UCCCUCUCUCUCGCCUUUUAAUCAUGCCCCUCUGUCUGUGUGUGAGUGCAGGCAGGCUGACAAUGAUUUCCUCAGUGAUUACGUACAGAGCGAGUCCCUGCGGGUUAGGGGCCCCCUCUGGAGCCAUCCUGAUGGCUUUGGGGGCCUUGCUUCCAUUUUCCAUUAUUAUGUGGACUACCGGAGCGACAGCGCAGUCCAAGACCUUGCAGCUGUUUGCUUUUAGGAUGUCUCGCCGCAAGCAAGCUAAACCAAGAUCACUCAAAGAAACUCAGAUUCUAGAAACAACCAGUUGUAUGAAGCCUUGGGGUUGGCGGAGGAGGAAAAGAGUAGAAGAAAAUGAAACAGAGGACCAGCAGGCAGGUGUGGGACACACAGCCGCACAGACUGACCCUAACUGUAAACUAGAAGACAAGGCAGAAGAUGGAGAAGUGCUAGACUGUAAGAAGAGGCCGGAUGAAGGGGAGGAGUUAGAAGAAGAAGCUGUGCACAGCUGUGACAGCUGCCUCCAGGUGUUUGAGUCACUGAGUGAUAUCACAGAACACAAGAUUAAUCAAUGUCAACUGACAGAUGGAGUGGAUGUUGAGGAUGACCCCACUUGCUCAUGGCCAGCAUCAUCGCCUUCUAGCAAGGACCAGACUUCCCCGAGCCAUGGAGAAGGUUGUGAUUUUGGUGAAGAGGAAGGAGGCCCAGGGUUGCCCUAUCCAUGCCAGUUUUGUGACAAAUCGUUCAGCCGCCUCAGCUACUUAAAGCACCACGAGCAAAGCCACAGUGACAAGCUCCCUUUCAAAUGCACGUACUGCAGUCGUCUCUUCAAACACAAACGGAGCAGGGACCGCCACAUAAAGCUUCAUACGGGAGACAAGAAGUAUCACUGCAGUGAGUGUGAUGCAGCGUUCUCAAGGAGUGAUCAUCUUAAAAUUCACUUAAAGACUCAUACGUCCAACAAGCCAUAUAAGUGUGCCAUUUGUAGGCGUGGAUUCCUGUCAUCUAGUUCACUGCAUGGUCACAUGCAGGUUCAUGAGAGGAACAAAGAUGGCUCUCAGUCCGCCUCCCGGAUGGAGGACUGGAAAAUGAAGGACACUCAGAAAUGUAGUCAGUGCGAAGAAGGCUUUGAUUUUCCUGAAGAUCUUCAGAAGCACAUUGCAGAAUGUCACCCCGAGUGUUCCCCUAAUGAAGACCGAUCUGCUCUUCAGUGUGUUUACUGUCAUGAACUCUUUGUAGAGGAAACAUCUCUGGUAAAUCACAUGGAGCAGGCUCAUAAUGGUGAGAAGAAGAAUUCAUGCAGCAUUUGCUCUGAGAACUUUCAUACUGUGGAGGAGCUGUACAGCCACAUGGACAGUCAUCAGCAGCCAGAGUCGUGCAAUCACAGCAACAGCCCGUCUUUGGUAACUGUGGGCUACACCUCAGUCUCUAGCACCACUCCAGAUUCUAAUCUCUCGGUGGAUAGUUCAACAAUGGUGGAAACAGCUCCUCCUAUACCAAAAGGUCGUGGAAGGAAGCGGGCAGCUCAGCAAGUGCCAGAUAUCACCGGUCCUUCAAGUAAACAGGCAAAAGUUACCUACAGCUGCAUUUAUUGCAACAAACAGUUGUUUUCCAGCCUUGCAGUUUUGCAGAUACACCUGAAAACUAUGCAUUUAGAUAAACCUGAACAAGCCCAUAUCUGUCAGUAUUGUUUGGAGGUAUUGCCAUCUCUCUACAAUCUGAAUGAACAUCUUAAGCAAGUCCAUGAAGCUCCAGACCCAGCACUGAUUGUUUCUACCAUGCCUGCCAUGGUAUACCAGUGCAACUUCUGCUCUGAAGUGUUCAAUGACCUCAACACCCUUCAGGAACACAUCCGAUGUUCUCAUGGAUUUGCCAACCCUGCUGCUAAGGACAGUAAUGCAUUCUUUUGUCCCCAUUGCUACAUGGGAUUUCUUACAGAUUCUUCUCUGGAAGAGCAUAUUAGACAAGUCCAUUGUGAUCUUAGCAGUUCCCGUUUUGGUUCCCCUGUGCUUGGAACCCCAAAAGAUCCAGUGGUGGAAGUGUAUUCUUGUUCUUACUGUACAAAUUCUCCAAUAUUUAAUAGUGUUCUUAAACUGAACAAGCAUAUCAAGGAGAACCAUAAGAACAUUCCUUUGGCACUGAAUUACAUCCACAAUGGAAAAAAAUCCAGAGCCAUGAGUCCAUUAUCUCCUGUAACCAUUGAGCAGACCUCUUUAAAGAUGAUGCAGGCAGUUGGAGGUGCUCCUCCUCGUCCUGCAGGUGAAUAUAUUUGUAAUCAGUGUGGUGCUAAGUAUACUUCCUUGGAUGGUUUUCAGACUCAUUUGAAAACACAUCUUGACACUGUCCUACCAAAACUGACCUGCCCUCAGUGCAACAAGGAAUUUCCAAAUCAGGAGUCUCUGCUGAAGCAUGUUACCAUUCAUUUCAUGAUCACCUCAACCUACUACAUCUGUGAAAGCUGUGACAAGCAGUUCACUUCUGUGGAUGACUUGCAGAAACACCUACUGGACAUGCAUACAUUUGUGUUCUUCCGCUGCACUUUGUGCCAAGAGGUUUUUGACUCCAAAGUCUCCAUUCAGCUACACUUGGCUGUGAAGCACAGUAAUGAAAAGAAGGUAUACAGAUGUACAUCUUGCAACUGGGAUUUCCGCAAUGAGACUGACCUACAGCUUCAUGUUAAACACAACCACCUGGAGAACCAAGGCAAAGUACACAAGUGCAUCUUCUGUGGUGAGUCCUUUGGUACAGAGGUGGAGCUGCAGUGUCACAUUACUACACACAGCAAGAAGUACAACUGCAAGUUCUGCAGCAAAGCUUUCCAUGCUAUCAUCUUGCUGGAAAAGCACUUAAGGGAAAAACAUUGUGUUUUUGAAACGAAAACUCCGAACUGUGGAACAAAUGGGGCAUCUGAGCAGGUUCAGAAAGAGGAAGUGGAACUCCAGACCUUGUUGACAAAUAGCCAGGAGUCCCAUAACAGCCACGAUGGCAGCGAAGAAGAUGUGGACACAUCUGAGCCUAUGUAUGGCUGUGACAUUUGUGGAGCAGCUUAUACCAUGGAGACUCUCCUGCAAAAUCACCAGCUUCGAGACCACAACAUUCGACCUGGAGAAAGUGCCAUAGUGAAGAAAAAGGCUGAACUCAUAAAAGGAAAUUACAAGUGUAAUGUAUGUUCUCGAACAUUCUUCUCUGAAAAUGGGCUCCGAGAGCACAUGCAGACACACUUGGGACCAGUGAAACAUUAUAUGUGCCCAAUCUGUGGCGAGCGGUUUCCAUCUCUUCUGACUCUUACUGAACAUAAGGUCACACAUAGUAAGAGCCUGGACACUGGAAACUGCAGGAUUUGCAAGAUGCCCCUCCAGAGUGAGGAGGAAUUUUUAGAGCAUUGCCAAAUGCACCCUGACUUGAGGAACUCCUUGACAGGGUUCCGCUGUGUGGUGUGCAUGCAGACAGUGACCUCUACGCUGGAACUGAAAAUCCACGGCACGUUCCACAUGCAGAAAACUGGAAAUGGUUCUGCUGUGCAGUCCACAGGGCGUGCACAGCAUCUCCAGAAACUGUACAAGUGUGCUUCUUGCCUGAAGGAAUUCCGCUCAAAACAGGAUUUAGUGAAACUUGACAUCAAUGGUCUGCCAUAUGGUCUGUGUGCUAGCUGUGUUAAUCUCAGUAAAAGUGGUAGUCCAAGUGUCAACAUCCCUUCAAGCAGUAACAGACAAGGCAUGGGCCAAAAUGAGAACUUGAGUUCCAUUGAGAACAAAAGCAAGGCAGGGGGACUGAAGACUCGGUGUUCUAGUUGCAAUGUUAAAUUUGAAUCAGAAAGUGAACUCCAAAACCAUAUUCAGUCAAUCCACAGAGAGCUUGUUCCAGACAGCAACAGUACACAACUGAAAACACCACAAGUAUCUCCAAUGCCCAGAAUCAGCCCCUCCCAAACUGAAGAGGUAACCCUUUUUUCUUUGCUCUUGACACCUUCCAUCCUUUUGGGAAAAAUCCCCCUUUUUUCAAGCUGUCUUGUCACUUGUCAUGAAAUGCUUAGGCUGAACCAUGUUACAUUUCCAUCCAUAGCCAUUAGCUAGUAAUUACUUGCCUCUUGAUAUGCCUUACGUCUUGGAUUGAAUUGUGCGGAAUAGGACUAAUUCCAGUCUCCCUAGGAUAUUGUCUUCUGUAUCACUGAGGAGACCUAUCUUCAUGCCAGCACAACUGAGAUCUGGAAUCUUAUCCUAGCUCCCUUAUGUGUUGGAAUCCCCAGCUAGGAGUUGUGCUUACGGCAGAGCGCAUUAAUGACAGAAGAGUAGAAUAUAGUGAGCCAAAAUGCUGGCAUAAGGGGUGGAUUUUGAAAAAAUAUUUGUGAGCAACAAGUUGAGGGUGUUUUUUGUAAAUUGUGUUGUAGACAUUAAUUUUCCCCUCUUAUAGCACAUUUUGAUUAAGUAGAAGUACAACACUAGCCUAAGGUAAAUUGGGAAAUCAGUCCUUUGGAUGCAAUUCCUUGUUGUGUUUUUCUUUCCGUUCAUGGUGAACAACAUUUUGAUGUCACUGAAACACCUAGUGCCUGGUGAUUGAAAUCCCAUUCAUGCAGGAUAACUUAGAAAGUAAAUAUCAAACUCUUGAAAGAUCUUAUCUACUUCCUUCAUCACCAGUGACCAAGUAAUAAUAUGGGAAGUUACGGGGGUCAUGUACUGAGGGAAGGGAAUCUUUUUUAUCUUCAGAAACAUCAACAGAAUGACUCAGGGUUAAUAUUUUAGGUAUGCUAUCUUGCAUAAUGACCCCUUAUAGUUCAGGAAACCUAAAAACACAGCACAAACAGAUCUUAAGAAAUAAUAACUUUGGUUUCAAGAAAGCUUUUGGCUUGUAAUGGUACAAGCAUAAUGCAACCCAUUGCUGUGAAUGUGCAUGGAUACCCUGUGGCUAGGGAGCUGCUGCUCUUCCAUCACCUUCCUCACUCCCUGUUUGUGAGCCCAUCUGUUGGGUAAGAAAUCUCUCAGCAUGUCAUCCAACAGUGUUGUGCAAACUGGAAGGCAGGAGGGAGGCAGAGUGAGGAAGGGAGCUACAUAAGGAUAUGUGGGCCCAGAGGUAAGUAUUUCUGGAGGUACCAAGAACAAAGCUCAAGAUAGGCUGGGAGAGGUCACUGAAGUAGCACAGGGCCUGGAGUGCCACAAAGAGGGAAGUGGAGCUGGGAGACGAGGGUGAGGUAACAGGCAGGAUGCAUCUGCCAGGGAAGAGCCCAAUGCUUUCCUGACUUCUGCAUCUCCAGUUUGCACAUUGCGGGGGGGGGGGGGGGGGGGUGUACACCUGGGUAAUGGAAUGUGGUGUGCAGUGUAUGGAAGGAGCAGUUUGUUAGACUGAGAACCGCAGGUCUAAGGAAAACCUUUUCAAAGAAGAGGGGAAAGGAAUGGCUCCCUUUAGGUGUGGUUCACACCAUUGAUGGUCCUGUAGUAUUGCUGCUAAAUCAGAACCACAGGAUUACCAGCUAUAUGCUUUUGAUAGAUUCAGAGUCAUCUUGGUUUCUGUUUCUGGUCAUCUUUCCCCAAGUGACUACAUGAAAUCUCUCUUCCCAGUCAUGUUGGCAGCACAACCAGAAUCAUGUGUAUUAAGACAGUUACCAUGAUAAGAUGUUACCAACUUGUCUUUCUCGAGCUUGUAAACUAGACAAAAAGAGAAUUGGGGGUCCUUUGCGGUGAUACAAGGUCAGUUACCUCCAGUGUCAUCAGUGAAUCUUCUUGUACUUGGAUCAGGUAUAAUCCGAGUUCUUAUGUCAUCUUCUGAUUGGCAUCACGUUCCUCUUCCUAUUCCUUUUGAUUUUUCUCUUAGAAAUGUAUCUAAGAUGAAAAAGCCUUUUAAACUACAGCAAGAUUUAUGAAUAGCAUUUGCCUGCUUCGAAAUCAUUUGCUCCCCAACCCCAUUCCGAGCAUGUAAACUGAUUUUUCAGUGUCUGUGUUUCUAGUCUCUACAUAAGUAACAUAGACUUUCAGAUUAUUUUCUCAUGCGAAGCACAAAGCUAUCAAGUUCCUGACAGAGCAUUAUUACUUCUGGAAACCAUAGAUGCAUGUUUGUAAACUCCUUAGAGAUAAUUAAUUUUUCUAACAGAUAUUACUGGUUUAAAAUUCUAGUGAUGCAAGCAUUACAGCAAUGAGAAUCAAAAUUGGAAGUAGCAAUACACAAAUGUUUAACAGUAUAGUUUGGAAGUUUGGGCUGAGGGAAGUGAAAACAUAAGCAUAUAAUACAAACAGUAAAAACAAAUUGGGUUGCUAAAAUUUGUUAUUAGUGAGUGGUUUUGCUACUCCACUGGAAGGAUGUUUUUUGAAUUGAAUGGGAUGUUGAAGAUGGCUACUUAAAUAUGCUGUUUUGGGGUAAUUUUCAUUAAAAAUAAUAAUAUUAAGGAGUGAAGGUUUCAUUUGCAUUGUUGAGAGUCACAUGGUUUGAGAUUACAACCUUUAUACAAGGAACAUUUGAUUCCCAAGGCAAGAAAAAUAUGGAGAGUAGUUGUCAAACCAUUAAUAGUGCUGAAUACCCUUUGUUACUGAGUAAUAGAUUACUAUGGUAAGAGUACUAGAAAAAAACAUUUUAAGAUAAAGGAUAACACUGAAAACUGUCAAUUCUGGAUUCUUUGCCAAGUAUUCUUAUGGUUGAACUAGAAAACUUCUCUUUUUAGCCUGUACUCAGUAACAUGAUAGGGUGCAAUUACCUUAACAUGGUAUAAUGUCAUCAGCUGAGCUAUCACCUGCUGAACUCACCCUGCUUGCUAAGUGAAAGGCAUUGACCUGAAUCAUCUUCACUGAAAGUUAUCUUUCAGUUGGGAUGGGAAAUGAUGGGCACUUCUAAUCAUCAGUUACAGGAACUCAAGGAACAGGUCAGAACCUAAGCCCAUCAUACUGCUGAAUCUAGUACCCGUAAACUAUCAAACAGACUUAAACAAGCAGAUUGUGGAUAGCUAGCUAUUGAAAGAGCUCUAAAAUUGGUAAAUCUCUGAGUUAUUCUUUGAGCCUAAUGAGAUGCUGAAUUCAGGUUGUAGAUUUCUUAUAAAGAUCCUGAAUCAUUGCAAACACACUGUUAAGCUAGGAUAAUAAUCUUCUUGGUGAUAGUUAAUAUUUAAAAGUGGAGAACAAGAUCUGAUAUGGUAAUGUAUUGGGAACUAGACAUCCAUCCUUUUUCUGUCACUCAUUUGCAUUGUUGACUCGGACAAAUCUACUUGAACACCUCUGUUUCAUUUUCCUUAUUCAGAAAAUAAGAUUGAUAGUUGCUGAGAAGUGUAUUGCCAUGCUUAAUUGCAGUGCAUUUUUUGUAAAGCACUUGGAAGAUGAAAAGCAGUGUUCAAGAAAAAGCAUGUGGCCUUGCUUUUCUUGUUCCUCUUUAAUCUGCUGUCAUGCACCUAACGAGAGAACUCAGCAGAAGAUGUGCCCUCACUUCUUAAGCUUCAGGACUUCUGUACAUGCAGAAUCAUACCAGUGUAACUGUACAAUAAUAGUUAUAUUGUUAACUGCUUAGCCGGCAGGCGAGGAGAAAAUGGACUCCAGCUUAUACCAACAGUUUACUGGUAAAAAUUAUCUUACACUAGUGUAUCCAUACGGUCCAAAGGGACACAGUUUAGUGGUACUUGGGAGUGUUAGGUUUAUGGUUGGACUCAAUGUUCUUAAAGGUCUUUUUUAACCUAAAUGAUUCUGUUCUAUUCUAUUCUAUGUGCAACUGCACUCAUUUUGGGGUCCUGUUGGUAACUUCUAGAGUAGGUGCUCAGCAAACUUAAUUGCCUCUGUAAGUAGCUUAAGUUAUGUAUCACUUUGUUCUAUGAAUGCGAAGCUCAUGUGAAUACUGUAUUACCUGUGGCAAUGCAGACAGUCCUUCAUUAAUAAUACAAGAAUACUGGGUUUUCUGGUCCUGAGAAGAGAAGCAGCAGUGCAAGUACACUGCCAAAUUACUGCAGGAAUAAAGAUGCUUAUUUAGGUGUUACAAAGGACUUGCAGAAACAUACUGUAGCAGAGAGUAUCAAAAGUUCUGGACAAAGGAAAGAACUAGCAACCGUCACACCAGCUGAAGAACAGAAUAAGUGUGAGCCUGGGGCUGCUCUUCUGUCCUAUUGUGGUUGUGCAGAGCUGUAUGCCAGGAUGGGCAUGUCACAGCAGGGUAUGCUGGGCGCAUCACUGCACCGUUCUGGAAGGAGCUGUGAAAGUGCAGGCUGCCAAUGAGCUUGUGGAGACGGGGUCACAAAAUUCAGAUGCUGCAGAGCUGGUGGCUCCUUGAAGCUCAACUUACACGACCUCAGAUGAAUCCAGAAAUGGUAUCAUCCUGGGAGAAAGAAUGGAGCUCAGAGACUUCAGAUGGGGAAUUUGGAGAGGUACCUUCUUCACACCUGAGAGGAAGAAAGGAUAAGUUCUGCAACGUUUUCAAGAACACCAAACCAAGUUUUCCAUGCAGCAAUGCAGUGGGGGGUGUGGGGGAUGUGUGGGGGGAAUGCCUGCUUGAAGAAAGGCAGAAGAAUUGAAGAGGGACACAGGAAUGUGGAUGAAGACCUUAAGCAUCUCUAGGGAGGACAAAUGUAGAUUCAGCAAAGCUUUAUGAGACAAAACAUCCUGAGAUGUCAACAGGUCAGCUGUGCAGCCCACUGUCCUUAUGGGGCUUUCCCUGUACAUGUACCUGCUGGCCAAGCGACCAGGGUAGCAUGCCACAAUUUCCCUUCUGCACAGCCCUAGUGGAAAAUCAGAAUAGUGAUGAGUAUUUGUAUUCUGACAUCAGAACAGGGUAGAAAACACAAGAAAUUUCUCCUGUUUUUCUAGCCUGAUUAUCUUUAGGAACAAGACAAGGGAAAUCACGGCAUGUCUUUUUGUCUGCUGGUUCACAUACCUCUAGAGGGUUCUCUCUCUUCCCCCUCUUACUCCUGUACUACACUUGGCCAGUUUCAAGAAAAACUUCAUAGAUAGAUAGGAAUCUCAAAGCCUAUGAAGUUUUUACGACAUUUGGGAAGAGAGAUGACCUAGCAGGUGAUAGAAUCCAGACAGGAAAGAGGCCUUUUAGAGAUCCAAACCAGGAAGAUGGCUUUAACUGAAGUUCAUACCUGGUUGUUAUGCAAAAGUCAAUCAGUCACAAGAAAUUAAGCUGUAAGAAACUAUGAUCUGCUCUUUGUGGUGCUCACAAACCAACUUCUUAAGUGACUGUACAUGCUUUGAGAAGUGUUUUUUACCACUGCUCAAUAAAGUUUUUAUAUGUAAUGUCUGUA